AAAACGACUCUCGGCAACGGAUAUCUCGGCUCACGCAUCGAURAAGAACGUASCAAAAUGCGAUACUUGGUGUGAAUUGCAGAAUCCCGUGAACCAUCGAGUUUUUGAACGCAMGUUGCGCCCGAAGCCWUCCGGUUGAGGGCACGUCUGCCUGGGCGUCACGC
Molecule: ribosomal RNA, 164 nt
Filed under: Aldama purisimae
Lineage: Eukaryota; Viridiplantae; Streptophyta; Magnoliopsida; Asterales; Asteraceae
Description: Viguiera purisimae 5.8S ribosomal RNA
Rfam family: 5.8S ribosomal RNA
About the family: 5.8S ribosomal RNA (5.8S rRNA) is a component of the large subunit of the eukaryotic ribosome. It is transcribed by RNA polymerase I as part of the 45S precursor that also contains 18S and 28S rRNA. Functionally, it is thought that 5.8S rRNA may be involved in ribosome translocation.
Source: RNAcentral